UACGGAGGGGGCAAGCGUUAUUCGGAAUUAUUGGGCGUAAAGGGCGCGUAGGCGGCUAGAUGUGUCAAAGGUGAAAUCCCUCGGCUCAACUGAGGAACUGCCUUUGAAACUGUCUGGCUUGAGGCCGGGAGAGGGUAGCGGAAUUCCCAGUGUAGCGGUGAAAUGCGUAGAUAUUGGGAGGAACACCAGUGGCGAAGGUGGCUACCUGGACCGGUUCUGACGCUGAGGCGCGAAAGCGUGGGUAGCAAACAGG
Molecule: ribosomal RNA, 253 nt
Filed under: uncultured bacterium
Lineage: Bacteria
Description: partial 16S ribosomal RNA
Rfam family: Bacterial small subunit ribosomal RNA
Source: RNAcentral